Molecule: long non-coding RNA, 700 nt
Organism: Phalaenopsis equestris
Lineage: Eukaryota; Viridiplantae; Streptophyta; Magnoliopsida; Asparagales; Orchidaceae
Exons: 2
Source: RefSeq, a predicted model, not a curated record
UCCGUUGAAGUCAGACUUUUGGAACCUAUGGUUCUCCUCCUCGCCUCCCACACGAUGCCACAAUGCGGGCCAAUGGGUUGGAAUGCGAUGAAGCGAAGCAUGAGGAAGAAGCUGGAGAAACCGAAUCCCCCUCCACUCACGACUACGGACUACCCUUCCCCAUCGCCCGCAUGGCCGGCCAUGCCAUUAUUCUCCACUGACACAUGAUCACCGUCAAAUCGUACUCUCGCGACGCCGUCACCAACCCACUCAUCGACAAACCCUUCAACCAUUCCGUGCUCCCCAAGUGUCACAACACUCUUCCUUACGAAGAAUUAUCCUCCAUCGCUCGCCUCACUGAUCACGAGGUCUUCGAUGUACCCUCGGCCUCGUCCCUAAAGGCGAUGGCGGCCUCUCUGAUACUUCCUUCGAUGGUGUUAUGCAGAUACUCCAGAUUUAGUUUAUAGGGAUCUACAGGCACAUGCUCGACUCUUUCAAGAAUUUUUAUCUGUGGAGAUCCAGGAUUGCCCUGCUCGAGCUUCCAGCGGCGGAUCAGCAUAGCAUGGUACUGUUUAUCUUGAUUUGUCUGAUGAACGAUGCCUUACUUGAUAUAUAUUAUUUGGAGAAGGCCUUUACCAUAUUCUUAUGAACACCUUUUUCUUUCCUUACAUUAGAUUUUUGAAUGGUUUUUUAAGCAAUUAAUGAAAUGGUAAUUUUAGCU